Molecule: ribosomal RNA, 492 nt
Filed under: uncultured bacterium
Lineage: Bacteria
Description: partial 16S ribosomal RNA
Rfam family: Bacterial small subunit ribosomal RNA
Source: RNAcentral
AGUGAACGCUGGCGGUAGGCCUAACACAUGCAAGUCGAACGGCAGCACAGUAAGAGCUUGCUCUUACGGGUGGCGAGUGGCGGACGGGUGAGGAAUACAUCGGAAUCUACUUUUUCGUGGGGGAUAACGUAGGGAAACUUACGCUAAUACCGCAUACGACCUACGGGUGAAAGCAGGGGAUCUUCGGACCUUGCGCGAUUGAAUGAGCCGAUGUCGGAUUAGCUAGUUGGCGGGGUAAAGGCCCACCAAGGCGACGAUCCGUAGCUGGUCUGAGAGGACGAUCAGCCACACUGGCACUGAGACACGGUCCAGACUCCUACGGGAGGCAGCAGUGGGGAAUAUUGGACAAUGGGCGCAAGCCUGAUCCAGCCAUACCGCGUGGGUGAAGAAGGCCUUCGGGUUGUAAAGCCCUUUUGUUGGGAAAGAAAAGCAGCAGGUUAAUACCCCGCUGUUCUGACGGUACCCAAAGAAUAAGCACCGGCUAACUUCGUG